GACGAACGCUGGCGGCGCGCCUAACACAUGCAAGUCGAACGAGCGAGAGAGAGCUUGCUUUCUCGAGCGAGUGGCGAACGGGUGAGUAACGCGUGAGGAACCUGCCUCAAAGAGGGGGACAACAGUUGGAAACGACUGCUAAUACCGCAUAAGCCCACAGGUCGGCAUCGACCAGAGGGAAAAGGAGCAAUCCGCUUUGAGAUGGCCUCGCGUCCGAUUAGCUAGUUGGUGAGGUAACGGCCCACCAAGGCGACGAUCGGUAGCCGGACUGAGAGGUUGAACGGCCACAUUGGGACUGAGACACGGCCCAGACUCCUACGGGAGGCAGCAGUGGGGAAUAUUGCACAAUGGGGGAAACCCUGAUGCAGCGACGCCGCGUGGAGGAAGAAGGUCUUCGGAUUGUAAACUCCUGUUGUUGAGGAAGAUAAUGACGGUACUCAACAAGGAAGUGACGGCUAACUACGUGCCAGCAGCCGCGGUAAAACGUAGGUCACAAGCGUUGUCCGGAAUUACUGGGUGUAAAGGGAGCGCAGGCGGGAAGACAAGUUGGAAGUGAAAUCCAUGGGCUCAACCCAUGAACUGCUUUCAAAACUGUUUUUCUUGAGUAGUGCAGAGGUAGGCGGAAUUCCCGAUGUAGCGGUGGAAUGCGUAGAUAUCGGGAGGAACACCAGUGGCGAAGGCGGCCUACUGGGCACCAACUGACGCUGAGGCUCGAAAAGUGUGGGUAGCAAAACAGGAUUAGAUACCCUGGUAGUCCACACCGUAAACGAUGAUUACUAGGUGUUGGAGGAUUGACCCCUUCAGUGCCGCAGUUAACACAAUAAGUAAUCCACCUGGGGAGUACGACCGCAAGGUUGAAACUCAAAGGAAUUGACGGGGGCCCGCACAAGCAGUGGAGUAUGUGGUUUAAUUCGACGCAACGCGAAGAACCUUACCAAGUCUUGACAUCCUGCGACGGUGCUGGAAACAGUACUUUCCUUCGGGACGCAGAGACAGGUGGUGCAUGGUUGUCGUCAGCUCGUGUCGUGAGAUGUUGGGUUAAGUCCCGCAACGAGCGCAACCCUUAUGGUCAGUUACUACGCAAGAGGACUCUGGCCAGACUGCCGUUGACAAAACGGAGGAAGGUGGGGAUGACGUCAAAUCAUCAUGCCCUUUAUGACUUGGGCUACACACGUACUACAAUGGCGUUAAACAAAGAGAAGCAAGACCGCGAGGUGGUGCAAAACUCAGAAACAACGUCCCAGUUCGGACUGCAGGCUGCAAACUCGCCUGCACGAAAGUCGGAAUUGCUAGUAAUCGUGGAAUCAGCAUGCCACGGUGAAUACGUUCCCGGGCCU
This 1337-nucleotide ribosomal RNA is filed under the name uncultured bacterium. RNAcentral describes it as "bacterial SSU rRNA". It matches the Rfam family "Bacterial small subunit ribosomal RNA", at positions 28 to 1381 of the family's 1533-position model. The record is from RNAcentral.